RNAcentral lists this unclassified non-coding RNA (2913 nucleotides) under Dimorphilus gyrociliatus. RNAcentral's name for it is "g_PROTEIN_RECEP_F1_2 domain-containing protein". The record is from RNAcentral. Lineage: Eukaryota; Metazoa; Annelida; Polychaeta; Dinophilidae.
CUCUUUUUGUCGAAUUUUUUUAUUUGUUAAAUCUAACGCUCAUAAAUCGAUAGGCAAUCAAUCACUGUCGGUUCAUGAUCAUAAUUAGCAUAAAAAUUUUAGCUGGCAGAUGCAGGCCAACAAAAACUCAUCACCAUCCAUUACCAGAGUCGACAACUCUUCGUCGACGAUAUCCCUAAAUGGCCUGAUUUUGUGCACGUAAGGUGAAAAUGGUUAGGCUGGAGGGAAAAUUCUAGUCUCUCAAACAUUGUAGAGAAGCGCCGGCGUGGUUUCGUUAUACUGGAUAGGCCUGAGGGAUGAAUUAGUGACGCCUCUUAAGUGGCUUAGGUGCUUAGGUGAUCGUAAUUGGUUGCGCUGAUAAAUAGUGCGGAAGCAGUUGGAUUUUGAUUCAGCCAAAAAAAUGAAUUCGACUAAUUCCACUUCCGGGGACCAGGCUUCCCUAUCCGAAAUCGUUAUUGUCUCCAUUAUCGUUACGAUUAUCGCCACUCUUACGGCGGGCGGAAAUUUAAUGGUUAUGAUCAGCUUCAAGAUGGACAAGCAAUUACAAACCGUUAGCAAUUAUUUCUUACUCAGCUUAAGCGUCGCUGAUCUAGCUAUAGGCCUAUUCUCAAUGCCCUUGUAUACUGUGCAAUUAAUAAGAAGGUCCUGGCCGUUGGGUGGAAUUGCCUGCGAUUUAUGGCUGUCUUUGGAUUAUACUAUGAGCAAUGCGAGCGUUGCUAAUCUUCUACUGAUUAGCUUCGACAGGUAUCUGAGUAUAACUAGACCGCUAACCUAUAGAGCAAAAAGAACACCAAAAAGAGCAGCAAUUAUGAUUUUCUGCGCCUGGGUCGUCUCAAUAAUACUUUGGACACCUUGGAUUUAUGGUUGGCCACACUUAGAGGGCCGUCGAACUGUUCCUGAGGACGAUUGUUAUAUCCAAUUCUUAAAGAGUAAUCAGUAUGUGACAAUAGCAACAGCUAUAGCAGCCUUCUACCUUCCUGUUUUUAUUAUGUGUGUGCUUUACUUCAAAAUCUACUUAGAAACUGAAAAGAGACAAAGGGGGUUAGAGAAGUUACAAGCUCAUUCUACGGAUUCCGAUGAAGAGAUUUCAAAUAGGAGAAAUAGGUAUUGUUGGAGGAGAUGUUGCAAAAUUGAUGAAGCAGAUGAAACUGAUCAUGAAGACGAAUGGAGUAAUACAUCACCUAAGCAAAAUGGAAAGAAUGAGAGAAUGAUACCUCUCAUUUCAAAACCACCUGAUGAUAUUGCUGAUACAUAUACAAUUUUAAUCAAACUUCCAGAAGAAGGAAGUUCUAAAGCUUCCAUAAAGAUGUACAACGAGGACGACACGGAAGAAGAACUUUUGAAAAGAACUCGGAAAUUACCGAAUCACAAAGAACGUAGGAGAGGUCACGAAAGGAAGCAAGACACGAAGGCUGCCAAGACAUUGAGUGCUAUUCUGCUAGCCUUUAUAAUUACUUGGACGCCUUACAACUUGUUUGUUUUUGUUGAAGCUUUUCAGCCAGGAUUUGUCCACGAGACAGUCUAUGGUAUAGGUAAAUAUCUUCUUUCAAAAUAAUUAACAUUCAUUUGAAUAUCGACACUAUGAGGACUUUUAAAGUAGACUCUAGGCUAAUGUCCUCCUUCUUUUUUUUAAAUUUGCUCUAUACAGAAGCAUAAUUUUAAAGCUUUUCUUUUCCUAGAAAACACAAAUUCACUUUUUUGUAGUUCUUUUUUUAUUUUUAAACUCAUUGAACAAAACAAAAAGCCAAAUUUUCAACCGUAUUUUUUAACAGAAGAAGGAAAGUACCUAACUUUUAAUUGAUUCUCGAAAAAUUGAAUUCAGAUAAGCUAAUUUAUACACUAAUUGUUUUUCACGAGAAAGAGAGAGUGAGUGAGAGAAAUAUAUAUCUAUAUAGAGAGAGAAAGAGAGAGAGAGAGAAAGAGAGAAAGAUAGGAAGAAAAGUGAAAAGAGAGAGAGAGAGAGAGUGAGAGUGGGUGAGUGAGAAAGAAAGAAAGAAAGAAAGAGACAAUAUUAAUCUAUUUCCUAUAAAAAUUUAUUGAGAAAAUAUGUUGAACCCCUCUCUCCAUUAUUUAUUUCAUCUCUUCUCUUCCUCACUUCUUCCUGUACACAUGCACACAUACACACGCUCUAAUCUCUCCUCUCUUUCUCUAUCUCUCUCUCUCGCUCUCUUUCUUCCUUUCUUUUUUCCAACUUUCUCUAACUUUUCAUUUUCUUAUUUUCGAUUUAUCUCUUUAUCUCGUAGACUAAAGACACCCAUUUCUAAAAAUCUAAUUUCUUAAUAAACAUUUUUAUACUUUCAUUAUUUUUUCUAGGGUACUGGCUAUGCUAUAUAAAUAGUACAAUAAAUCCACUUUGCUACGCUUUAUGUAACGCUAACUUUAGGAGGACGUAUUGGCGAAUAUUGACUUGUAGAUGGCGCAAGAAGCGACCAUUAACUGUGUCUAGAAGUUGAUUGAUGCUGAUUGAUGCUUUUAUGUUUUUAUUAAUCUUUAUAACUGCAUAACAUACGUAUAACAGUGUGUAAAUAUGUUGUCUCAUUCCGAAAGUAUUAACGCAGAAAAACCUCCUUGAUAAAACAAAUAUUAUGGUUAAAAUUUUAUUAGUUUUAUUCAUGCUCCCAUUUUCCUAAGGAGGAAACAAAUAUUAUGACUUGGUUAAAAUAGAAAAUUUCCAAGAAUCAUUUUAUCAUAAGAAGAAGACAAGCAAUUUAUAAAAUUUAUGAAAAAAGAAACAUACAAGAACGUAUUUCAAAAAUAAAAAUUUGAUACAAAAAUUAUUCAAAUCUAUGAUAUUUAUUAAUUUUUUUAUGUAUACAUUUUAACGAUUUUGUUCUAUUCAUAUUUUAAACUGAAAGACAUAUCAUUUAUAUAUACAUUAUAUAUAUUAAAUAUGUAUAUAUAUGCAUUUUUUUU